RNAcentral lists this ribosomal RNA (468 nucleotides) under uncultured bacterium. Its description in RNAcentral is "partial 16S ribosomal RNA". It matches the Rfam family "Bacterial small subunit ribosomal RNA", at positions 28 to 507 of the family's 1533-position model. The record is from RNAcentral.
GACGAACGCUGGCGGCGUGCUUAACACAUGCAAGUCGAACGGAAAGGCCCUGCUUUUUUGGGGUUCUCGAGUGGCGAACGGGUGAGUAACACGUGAGUAACCUGCCCUUGACUUUGGUAUAACUUCAGGAAACUGGGGCUAAUACCGUAUAGGAUCUCCUGCUGCAUGGUGGGGGUUGGAAAGUUUCGGCUGUUGGGGAUGGACUCGCGGCUUAUCAGCUUGUUGGUGGGGUAGUGGCCUACCAAGGCUUUGACGGGUAGCCGGCCUGAGAGGGUGAACGGGCACAAUGGGACUGAGAUACGGCCCAGACUCCUACGGGAGGCAGCAGGGGGAAAUAUUGCACAAUGGGCGGAAGCCUGAUGCAGCAACGCCGCGUGCGGGAUGACGGCCUUCGGGUUGUAAACCGCUUUCGCCUGUGACGAAGCGUGAGUGACGGUAAUGGGUAAAGAAGCACCGGCUAACUACGUG